AAUAUUAAAAAGCAACUCUCCGCUGAAGUCAAUGCCACCAAACCCCCUGCCCCUAGCAGAAUCAGCAGAGCUGAUCUCGGAGCGGUGCCCAAACCAGGUGCUGUGAAGGCAGUUAGACCUUCGAGUUUACCUUAUAGGAAUGCUUUUCUCGUUCGGCCAUCUAAAGCAUCAGAGAGCUCGAAGAAGAUAGCUCAAUCUUCUGUUAGAAAUCGAUCUUUAGAACCACACAAGUAUGUCCAGACUCUGCUGCAUAGACUUCCAUCUGAUAGUGGACAUCUUUCUUUCAAUGAAGGGGAAAAGUUACGACUUGUUCUGGAAGUUGAUGAAAAGUGGCUUUUGUGUUGUCGAGGCGACCAGAAAGGCCUUGUUCCAAGGAGUGCAGUUAUCGCCUGCAGUAGGUACUGAAUUUCUCCACAAGGUAUUAUGAAGCAUUGUGACUGACCUUUGAAUUGUAUGCUCUUUACCUGGGAGUCAACUUUCUAGAAUGACCGUACAUGAGCAGGUACAGGCAUUCAUUAAACUUACGAUUAAUUUAUACAAUUCCAAACUUAUCAAGCCUCAUAGUUAGCUUACUAUUAUAAUGUGGUACUGAAAUUUUUCUGAAGCAGCUUAACUUGCUCUUGUACCAUGCAUAGACAUACUCUGUAUAUACUUAUCAUCCACACUUUGGAAAAAAAAACCAAAAAAAAAGACUUAUAUAUUUUCUAAGUGUCAAAUACUCCUAUUGUGUAAGUACUAGUUGUUGCAAAGACUUAUUAGAUUUCUAAGUGCGAAAAUUUGAAUUUGUAAGAAAAGGAAACAAAAAAUAAGAAAGGAGUAAGAAUUCUCUUCAAAACAAAACUGAAAAUUCAUGUAUUCGUUUGUACAGUGUUUUGCCCUACUUUCUCUUUCAUCAACAUUUUCAAUGAGGUUAUGCAAGCCUAUUUCGUCAGUAUUCUCAGAAGAGUAUUUUUAAACGGCUUUAUUGAGAUAUGUUCGUGAAUUGAAAAGUAUUUUAUAUUUGUAUUUUGUACAGUAUUUUUCCUACCUACGCUUAAAAUGUCAAAAGUGUGCAGUGAACUGUUGUGUCCUUGCACCUUAAAUUUCUGACAGCUUUGUUUUUGAAGAUCAUAAGAUUUUACGCUCGCAGAAGUUUCCAUCUUUUAUCAGGCGGAGCCUUUUAUUUGUGAGCUGUCAGUGCUAUUGUAUUUUUACUGUAUUCCAAAAUUCAGAUGAAAAGAUGAAUUAUCUCUCCAUUUUACCAACAAUUUUUUUAAAGGUGAGAUGUAAGAAUUUUAAUCUAAAUUUUAAAUCCCCGCUUUCCCUAUUACAUCAAUGAAAACUCAGAUUUUAUUUCUCUGAUUUCACUUUGUUUCCUUUCUUUCUUCCGCUUGGAAACUCAUUCAUUGAAAUGCCUAGAAGCACUUAAAAUACAUUUUCUUUUGUUUAUUUUAUCUUUUGAAUUUAAUUUUGAAAAGAUUAGAUAAAAUCACUCCAAUAAAUGAAGUGAGUUGACUGAAGUUACUGCAACAUUGACGGUGCUUCGCUCUUAUGUUUUCUCCCUUUCUAUGUUUUCUUUUUCUCUUAUAAUUCACGUGCUGAAAAUUAUUUUAUUUAAAUAGCAUAAUAAGUUUGAAAUUUUUUUUCCUUCCCAAUAUUUUAUCCUAUCACUCUUUUUCUAUAAUAAAAAAAAUGUUUGGUCUCUCAUUAAUGAAUCAAAAUGGAGUGUGGGUAAAAGCUGCACCCUUCCCAGAAUUAACUACUCUUUUUGUCGUCAAAAAUUUGAUUCCCACACCUAAACAUUGACUACAUCCUUUCUGUUUGUUUAAGCUUUAUUUUAUAUUGGUGUCAUCAGUCUGAAAUCAGCCUCUCUUUUUCCAUCUUGUUCUCUAAAUUUUUCACCUAUCGUUGGACUGAUUUGUCUUGCAAACUGAAUGAAAUAAUUGAACAAUUGCCGUAUCACCUUGUUAAAAUUUAAUUGGAAAUAUUAUUGGCAUAAUCGAUCUUAUUUGUUUAGAGAUAUGAUCUAAAGUCUACUUUUGCUAGAUUUUUUUCAGACUCCCAAAGAAAUUUAUCUAGGCAAACUUGCUAAUUCACUCACUUUUUGAUUAACACCAAUGUGAUGCCAUCAAUUGUAGAUGAUGCUCAAACAUAUGACUUGUUAUAAGAUUGUACCCAAGAAUUUCCUAAAAACUUUAUGUUGCACUAAAUAGUAGCUCUUGUUUUAACAAUGUUUUAAAAACUUCAAUAGCAGGUCUAUUUUAGCGUAUAAAGUAAUUUGUCAUCAGGUAAUGAGCUGAAAAACUGGGUGAGUCUUCGAUAGUUUCUGUGUUGUAAGGCUGAUUCUAUAAACUUUGAAUCUCCCAAAUUGUUUUCAUUAAUUGUAAAAAGAUGAGCUUAUUGCCGCAAACCCUCUUUUUGCCUGCUCUCUUCGAAUAAAUCCUCUUUCAUCUAGGAUUUUUUUCUCUCAAAAUUUAUUUUCUUUUUGUGCCCUUGAAGUAUGGAAAUUAUCUCAGAAUUCCAGCCUCGCAUUUUAACAGAACACAAACAGUCUUAUCAUUUUCACUGAGCGUUCAUCUUUUAGUUUUUCUAUCCAAUUUUCUAUCUAUCAAAUUCUGCUUGAAUUCCUACAAAAAACCCUGAGAUCUUCUCUGUUAAUAAUUUGAUACCUUUUUAAAACUGCUUUCCCUCUCUCUUUUUUUCUGUGUUCUGUGAAGAAUGAUUCAAGACCAAAGGUCGUAUUCUGUCAUACCAUGUAAUGAUGCCUCAAGUCGCUAAAUCAUGCAUGUUUUCCAAAAUAAAUGCAACCGUACUAUUCUUCCCAAACCGGACCUGUCAUUCCCCUAACCUGUCAUACAUCCAAUGAAAUUUGUGACAUUUUUUCUCUUUGAUCUUGAGCCAAAAAACCUUCAAAACAUCUCUAAAUACUAUAUCUUUAACAUGCCAAAUAUCGGCGUCAGUGUCUCUUUCUUGUCUUUCUGUUUAUCUGCUUUGUUUGAUACUCAAGUGUUGCUAUUUGUUGCGUUGAUAUCUCUCUCUGAAGAAUAACUGUGAAUUAGGACUUUUGAAACUCCUGAAUGAGAGAAAAAGUAACUUUGAAAAUAGUGCAAAGAAUCGAGAUGAUUUUGGUAAGACUUGAUACGGCCUUUACAAUCAAAGAUUCUGUCAGCUUUAUAACUUAAAUCAUUUUCAGUUUAUUUUGUAGAAAACUGGCCUUCAGUAAAUUUAAAAGAGCUUGAAAUGCAAAGUCUUUCCAGUCGCUGCUUCCAACUGUCAGAUUCUAGAGAUAUUUGUAACCAGUACCUUUUUUCUCUCUUUCUUUUCAAAGUAGAUAGUAUAAUUUAAGUCAUCAAAUUGAAAUUUAAAACAAGAGGGUAGGCAAGGAAAGGAUUUGGUUGCAAUUAAAUAGCAACUCAGAAACCAUGCACUCAUGAUUACAUGGCUAAAAAUAUCUAAAACUUAGAGAGUAUUUAUCUAAUCUUCUAGAAGAUUAAUUUUCAGCAAGCAAACCUUUUAUUAAGUUAGAUACUUUCCAUGACCAUAUCAAAAAAACUGUGACAACCCUAUUUUUUUUUCUUUUCUUCUUUUUUUAUGUUUUCCCUUUCGUCUCUCAUUGUUUCCGAUGGGACUUUUUUUGAGGAACCUACUUACCUUUUAGACUUGUGUCCAUCUAAAUGGAGUUUUCAAAAAUAAAUUUCUGUUUUUCUUUUUUUCUCUCUCUCUCAUUUCCCUCCCCUGUCCAUUCUGUGUUUUCAAACCACUGAAAUAUUCAAUAUCUCUUGAAUUACACCCCCAAUAGUUUAAUCUGCAGUAUUCGGAUGCCUGUUUUUUCAUGUUAUAGCUAAGAUAAGUUAAUGCGUCAGUAUUUUCGAUCUCUUUUUCUAGUUUGUUAAUAAUUUUGUUAAUGAAAUUUGUGCAAAAUGUGCAUUUGUAAUAUUAUUUGUAUCUUUCAACCCUUAAUUUUUUCAUUUUUUUUCUUUCUUUUUUUGCCUUUGUAUUAUAAUUUUUUAUUAUUAUUUUGGUGCUAUUAAGAAUUUAAUUAGCUAAAUAACAAAUCUGAGAGGACAAAAUAACCAAAGAUUUGUCAAAAAGCAGAAAAAUUUGCAUUGUCAAAAAUCAAUUUCCCCUUUUUUAGAUAAAUGUUUGUGCAAUGAAUGAUAUGCUAAGAAAUUGUGUGCCAUGCUUGGUAAAAAAUCAGGUUUUAGUGCAGCGGUUUUUCAUCACAUAUUUUAUAUUCUGCUUUCUCUGCAUCUUGUGCCCCGCUGAUAAGUUUGAAUAUGAGUGUUUUAAACAGACCUUAUUUUUUAUACUUUGUAUUGCUGUCAAAGCAGAAAUUGCUUGAGCCUCUGCUUCUCUCCUUUUUUUGUCCCUAAAAGGCUGCAAAUAUGUAAUUGCUGAAGAAUAUAUUUUAGUGGUUUGUCUAGGUAUUGAGAUUAUUUUUUGAUCUGGUUGUUAAUUUCAUGUAACUCAAUUUUCUCUCUAUUUCUUUUUCAAUUAUUUGGUUUGAUUCAGCCUAAAAAUUGACACGGUAAUAUGAUUGAUAACAAUGUGUCGGCCAACUCAUUUUUGA
This 4549-nucleotide long non-coding RNA is filed under the name Bemisia tabaci. RNAcentral's name for it is "lncRNA ENSSSA3NGG000834". The record is from RNAcentral. Lineage: Eukaryota; Metazoa; Arthropoda; Insecta; Hemiptera; Aleyrodidae.